UGGGGAAUAUUGGACAAUGGGCGAAAGCCUGAUCCAGCCAUGCCGCGUGUGUGAAGAAGGCCUUUUGGUUGUAAAGCACUUUAAGUGGGGAGGAAAAGCUUAUGGUUAAUACCCAUAAGCCCUGACGUUACCCACAGAAUAAGCACCGGCUAACUCUGUGCCAGCAGCCGCGGUAAUACAGAGGGUGCAAGCGUUAAUCGGAAUUACUGGGCGUAAAGCGCGCGUAGGUGGUUAUUUAAGUCAGAUGUGAAAGCCCCGGGCUUAACCUGGGAACUGCAUCUGAUACUGGAUAACUAGAGUAGGUGAGAGGGGAGUAGAAUUCCAGGUGUAGCGGUGAAAUGCGUAGAGAUCUGGAGGAAUACCGAUGGCGAAGGCAGCUCCCUGGCAUCGUACUGACACUGAGGUGCGAAAGCGUGGGUAGCAAACAGGAUUAGAUACCCUGGUAGUCCACGCCGUAAACGAUGUCUACCAGUCGUUGGGUCUUUUAAAGACUUAGUGACGCAGUUAACGCAAUAAGUAGACCGCCUGGGGAGUACGGCCGCAAGGUUA
This 549-nucleotide ribosomal RNA is filed under the name uncultured bacterium. RNAcentral's name for it is "bacterial SSU rRNA". It matches the Rfam family "Bacterial small subunit ribosomal RNA", at positions 355 to 896 of the family's 1533-position model. The record is from RNAcentral.